CCAAUAGCGUAUAUUAAAGUUGUUGCAGUUAAAAAGCUCGUAGUUGAAUUUCGGGGUUCUUCCGUUGGUCAGGCUAACAAGUCUGUACUAGCGUGUAGAAUCUCUACCUUCUGGGGAACCAUCAUGUUAUUAAUUUAGCGUGGUGGGAAACCAGGACCUUUACCUUGAAAAAAUUAGAGUGUUCAAAGCAGGCUUACGUCUGAAUACAUUAGCAUGGAAUAAUAAAAUAGGACGGUGGUCCUGUUUUGUUGGUUUCUGAAUCACCGUAAUGAUUAAUAGGGAUAGUUGGGGGCAUUAGUAUUCAAUUGUCAGAGGUGAAAUUCUUGGAUUUAUUGAAGACUAACUUCUGCGAAAGCAUUUGCCAAGGAUGUUUUCAUUAAUCAAGAACGAAAGUUAGGGGAUCGAAGACGAUCAGAUACCGUCGUAGUCUUAACCAUAAACUAUGCCGACUAGGGAUCGGACGAUGUUAAAUUUUAUUGACUCGUUCGGCGCCUUACA
This 498-nucleotide unclassified non-coding RNA is filed under the name uncultured Scutellospora. RNAcentral describes it as "SSU rRNA". It matches the Rfam family "Eukaryotic small subunit ribosomal RNA", at positions 591 to 1092 of the family's 1831-position model. The record is from RNAcentral. Lineage: Eukaryota; Fungi; Glomeromycota; Glomeromycetes; Diversisporales; Gigasporaceae.